This 507-nucleotide ribosomal RNA is filed under the name uncultured bacterium. Its description in RNAcentral is "bacterial SSU rRNA". It matches the Rfam family "Bacterial small subunit ribosomal RNA", at positions 9 to 526 of the family's 1533-position model. The record is from RNAcentral.
GAGUUUGAUCCUGGCUCAGGACGAACGCUGGCGGCGCGCCUAACACAUGCAAGUCGAACGGAGCUGAGAGGAGCUUGCUUUUCUUAGCUUAGUGGCGAACGGGUGAGUAACGCGUGAGUAACCUGCCCUGGAGUGGGGGACAACAGUUGGAAACGACUGCUAAUACCGCAUAAGCCCACGAUCCGGCAUCGGAUUGAGGGAAAAGGAUUUAUUCGCUUUAGGAUGGACUCGCGUCCGAUUAGUUAGUUGGUGAGGUAACGGCUCACCAAGACCGCGAUCGGUAGCCGGACUGAGAGGUUGAACGGCCACAUUGGGACUGAGACACGGCCCAGACUCCUACGGGAGGCAGCAGUGGGGGAUAUUGCGCAAUGGGGGCAACCCUGACGCAGCAACGCCGCGUGAAGGAUGAAGGUUUUCGGAUUGUAAACUUCUUUUAUUAAGGACGAAAAAUGACGGUACUUAAUGAAUAAGCUCCGGCUAACUACGUGCCAGCCGCCGCGGUAAUUC